RNAcentral lists this transfer RNA (72 nucleotides) under Deltaproteobacteria bacterium. Its description in RNAcentral is "tRNA-His". It matches the Rfam family "tRNA". Rfam says of the family: Transfer RNA (tRNA) molecules are approximately 80 nucleotides in length. Their secondary structure includes four short double-helical elements and three loops (D, anti-codon, and T loops). The record is from RNAcentral. Lineage: Bacteria; Pseudomonadati; Myxococcota; Myxococcia.
GUGGGCGUAGUUCAGCGGCAGAACGCCUGGCUGUGGCCCAGGAGGUCGUGGGUUCGAAACCCACCGCCCACC